RNAcentral lists this long non-coding RNA (1305 nucleotides) under Sarcophilus harrisii (Tasmanian devil). Its description in RNAcentral is "lncRNA (ENSSHAG00000023747.1)". Lineage: Eukaryota; Metazoa; Chordata; Mammalia; Dasyuromorphia; Dasyuridae. The record is from RNAcentral.
UCAGUUUUCAUUUAUUUUUUAUGAAAUAUUAAGAAAAUGAAGUUUGCUGCUUAAAAAUGUUUUCUAUUGGUAAUACCGUAUCGGCACCUGAAACAGAAGGAUUUAUCUAAACCCUUGAGUAGCAAAUCGUAUCUAGUUUGUUUAGCUUUUCAGAUUGGUCCCAGAAAAUCCUUUUUAUGUGCCAAAAUAUUUAUCUCUUGGGGUAGGAAACACCAUUAGCAUGAAAAGCUUUGAUAAUGCUAAAUUUUACUUCAAGCAGGCAGUUACAACUACCAUCAGAGUGCCCUUUACUCUCUAAAACAGUUAUAAGCUUUCUAUUUAGCAAGAACAGCUCAUCCCACUGUUAAAACUCAUACUAAAUGAUAUUUCCUGUUGAUGGAUUUUUUUUUUUUUGGAUUUUUUUUUUUUUGGAUUCAUUUAACUUAAAUGAUUAUAUUCCUCAAAUGAAAAUAAUUUGGAAGACUAAUGCUAUAUUUUCCUACGGUUAUGAUGAUAAGUUAAAAGUUUUAUGUAAACAAUAGCAUAUUUCAGGGUGUGGAGUGCAGAAAUGGGAGUCAGACCUGUGAUUGCAUUAAUGUUGGAAACUCCCAAUGAGGUAAUUCCCUCCACCAAUGCAAAUCAAUAAUUUCUCUAUGACUUAAGAGUGUUAAAAGUUGUCUGGGACACUGAAAGAUUAAGUAAUUUGUCCAGCGUCACAAAGUCAUCAUGUGACUAGGAGGCAAGUUGUCUAUCUAGUAGUACAACACAUAUUGUUAUUAAUGAGGAAAAAAGUGAAAUGGGUCAGAGUUCUAAUUAUGUGAUUUUUUUUGAUGAAUUAUAAAUUAAAAACCAUUAUAUAUACAAUGGAAAAUAACAAACUAAAAUUAAUAAAUCACUAUUCAAUUAGAAGAGAUCAACUCUUAAAAGAGACCAAAAUAUGACAUUUGAUCCUAGGAAGAAAAGCUCAUAGACACAGAAUAAGAUAUACUUAUUACUUUUAGCAUGUUAAAAACAAUGACACAAAAAAGUACGCAGUUAAAAACUGUUAUAGGUGACAUAAGAAAAUAGUGUGUAUAUAUUUCAUACAUAUAUAUAUAUAAAAUCUACAUUAUUUACCAUUGUUGAUAUGUGUGUAUGUAUGUAUACACAUAUACACACAUACAUAUAUAUGUAUAUGUAUAUUAUUAUAAUAAAUAUAAUAAUAUACACAUACACAAACACACACACACACAUAUAUAUUUGGGGGAGGCAGCAUAGGUGCUAACUAGAAUAAAUUUUACAUUAUACUUUAUUAUAAAUCACAGAAUCCAGGUUUAAAUUUUAAGG